CCUCAGCAUAUGGAAGUUCCCAGGCUAGGGGUUGAAUUGGCGCUGUAGCUGCCAGCCUACACAACAGCCACAGCAACACAGGAUCUGAGCCAUGUCUGCGACCUACACCACAGCUCCCAGCAAUGCUGGAUCCCCAACCCACUGAGUGAGGCCAGGGAUCGAACCCGCAUCCUCAUUGAUACCAGUCAGAUUUUUUUCUGUUGCGCCAAAGUGGAAACUCCCUAAAACUCAUUUUUUCCCCACCAUAUCAGAGUGCAUGAUUGUGUUUCACCCUUGUCUUAAAUCCUUUCUAGAAUAAGGCAGAACACAAAUCAAUUUUACAAAUUAUUCCCAACGGCUUUACCAGAAGUCACAUCCAUCUUAGUAAUGCAGAGGGUCUUCGUAGUGGAAGAGCACAGACUUUGACUUGAAAUGAACUUUUAUUUGUAUCCCUGUUCUGCCUCUUAGUGAUCUUGAGAAAGUUUCUUAAGCCAUGCUGAUCUUUAAUUAUAUCAUUUAUGAAAUGAAGGUAUUCAUAGAAUUCCGAAAUGGCAGUGCAAUGCCUAAAGCAGAGGACCUUCCAAAUGGUGCUUAUUCACCCUUCUUUCUGAGGAUGCCACUUAAAGAAGGACAUGGCCAUUAAAGCAGCUCAGAAAAAGGAAAAUAUUGUCUAUAGGAAGGGCUUAGUUGGUUUUAUGACAAAGGGAUAUUCCUCAAGGUAUGAGUCGAUUUAAUGUAAAAUGCCCUUGACACAGAAUGAAAUAUGGCCUAUUAUAGUGAAUUUAUAUUUUUGCUUGUCAUUUGCUUCAUCAGAAACUGAUUAAUGAUACAUAUUGAGAUUCAUCAAAAUUUAAAACUAUUUUUAUACACACUACUAUAUAUGAAAAUAGACAAUCAACAAGGACCUACUGUAUAGCACAAGGAAAUGUACUCAACACUUUGUAAUAACCUAUGUGGGAAAAGAAUAUGAAAAAGAAUGUAUAAUAUGUAUAUGUAUAACCAAUUCACAAGCACAACACUGUAAAUCAACUCUACACCAAUAAAAUUUUUAAAAAAAUUAAGAUUACAAAAGUACCUUCAAGGAAUUUGCAAAUAUUCUGUAAAUUAUAACCAAUGCCAUAGUAAAUGCAAAUGGGGAUGUCAAAACAGGGAAGGAUAACUCCAGGUUUAGAGGAUACUUCUAGAUUUGGGGUUUUCUGGGUCUUUAAUCAUUGGAAUGCACCUUCGGAAGCUAAAGGAAUAUGAGAAAAAUAGAGAAGGGACACCAAGAAAAUUAAUUACCUUUGUGGUACAAACAUAGGACUAGUGACAGAAAAACUAAAAUGUAGUGUGAACAAAAGCUGGUGACAGUGCUCAAACAUUUAAUCAAGACAAGUCAUUUAAGUUCAACUUUUUUUUUUUUUACUUAUUUAUUUAUUUAUUUAUUUUUGUCUUUUUGCUAUUUCUUUGGGCCGCUCCCGCGGCAUAUGGAGAUCCCAGACGUGGCUCGGAUCUGACAUUGCUGUGGCUGUGGUAUAGGCCAGCAGCAACAGCUCCGACUGGACCUUUAGCCUGGGAACCUCCAUGUGCCAUGGGUGAGGCCCUAAAAAGGCAAAAAACAAAAAACAAGAAGGGGCAAUUGGAAGAACAGUAAUGUCAGCAUGACUGCAUUCAUUAGUUGCUUAAAUGCACCUGCUUAUUUUUGUAUGUUCCCCUUUUAAAGGAAAAUAUAUAGAAAUAGAAUUUUCAAAAUUACUUUCAAAUGCCUACUUAAUUGAGGGCACCGCUAAUAUAUGUUAAAUUUUUUACUAAAAUAAAUAUUUCAAAGGGUAAGAUCCCUCUUUUUCUUUUUUUAAGAAAAUUAAGUAGGCAGACUUAUUAUUUGACUAAUCAGGGAAAUAAUUAGAGAACUCAUUAUACAAAAAUACACGUGUGUAUAUAUAUUUGAAAAUCAGGUAUCUUAUUUCAAAAGCAAUAAAAAAAACUGAAAAGAGGAUCUGGGAUUUCUUAUAUUUGUCGUAAGUAGAGCAAUUUCCGUUUGAGAAUAUACUUCAAAGUGUUUCUCAAAACUUCUGCUUUUUAGGAGUUUCCUGGUGGCUCAGUGAGUUAAGGAUCUGGUGUUGUCACUAUUAUUGCUCAGGUCACUACUGUGCCACAGAAACUUCUGCAUGCCACAGGCACGGCCAAAACAAACAAACUACCACUUUUUGGGGGGUUUUCAUUUUUUAAAAUUUUAUUGAAGUAUAGUUUAUUUACAGUGUUAAUUUCUGCUGUACAACACAUAACUACCACUUUUAAAGUCAUUCAUUCAUUGACUUUUUCGCUUAUUCCUUCAUUUGACAUUUUAAAAAAAAUUUUUCCUGAAAUAAUAGUACUGCGUAUUCGUUAUGAAAUUUAGAAAAGCCAUUAAAGUACAAACAAGGAAAUGAAAAUGCCCUUUUCCUUUCUGUACUCAAAGCUAAUGACCAUUUCCUGUUUGGAGGCAUUUUCCUUCAUAAAGAUAUCCUCCCUGUGGUCAGGCCCCUUAGGCAGCCUUGCUUCUUGCUGCUGAGUGUGACUCAGCAUUGGU
RNAcentral lists this long non-coding RNA (2527 nucleotides) under Sus scrofa (pig). Its description in RNAcentral is "lncRNA (ENSSSCG00005006781.1)". The record is from RNAcentral. Lineage: Eukaryota; Metazoa; Chordata; Mammalia; Artiodactyla; Suidae.